UUGAUGUUGACAGGGAGGGGCCAAGAAUUGUCACCCGUGGUGGCAAUCUCUGUUCCAAGUUGAUACCUAUCGGCUUCAAGUUUCUGAACCUCUGCAUCAAACACACUGCGGAUUUCACGAAUCGUUUUCAGAUCUUCCACAGCUUCAGGUAACAUAUAAUUAGGAUUCCAGUUUGGGUGAUCAAUCUCAUAUUUGUACAUGUCAUUGAAAUCCGAUCUCUUCAACUUCAGUGAUUCCAAAGGCUGUGAUUCAAUCCAAACUGCAUCCAUACCAUCUUCCCCGUACAGAAACUGAAUCACAUCACCUAACGAAUUCCUAACAGUCCCAUCAUACUUAACCAUGAUAUCUUCCAUAGCCUUCACCAAUCGCCUCUGAAUAUAUCCAGUCUCAGAAGUUUUCACUGCAGUGUCAAUAAGACCUUCCCUACCACCCAUGGCAUGGAAAAAGAACUCUUGAGGAGACAAUCCUCGAAGAUAUGAGUUCUCCACAAAACCACGACUCUCUGGACCAUAAUCAUCUUUGGUGAAGUGUGGAAGUGUGCGAUCCACAAAACCAAAAGGAAUUCGCUUGCCUUCAACAUUCUGCUGACCCACACAUGCAGUCAUCUGAGAAAUAUUGAUGAAACUUCCCUUAGACCCUGCAGUGACCAUAGCUUUGAGGUUGUUACUUUCUGCCAAGCUCUUCUGAGCACUGCUUCCAGCAUCAUCACGAGCCUUAUUCAACACCUGAAGGCACAAAACAUAUAUAAGGGAAUCACCAGGCUGCAGCAAGGAAAUCAAAAUUUUUAACAAACCUGGUUAACUCUGUUCUCGAACGAUUCCAUCAUUGUUCUUCCUGGCUCAGCUUCCAAUUGCUUUUCUUGUGCAGCCCUGAUAAGUUCAUUCACCUCAUUCUUAGCUUUGUUAAUAGUUUCAGAGAUCUUCGUCAUUGUAUCAUGAUCAGCAAUUGUAUCUCCAAUUCCCAUGCUAAAAGCGUUCUGCAAAAGCCAAUAAUUGACCAGCCAUUGUGUAUGUCCCAAAAAUUUCCGAGCUGCAUCUGGACCGACUUCUUCCCUGAGACCAGUAUACAUUAUAUUAAACACAUAAAUAUGAAUAAAGAAUCUUUCGGGCUUUCAGUUCAUUAUUAUAAUAUUUAUUACUCCUUGUUUCAUGUGCCAUAUCAUAUGUUUUGAUGUCACAAAUGCUAUAAUAUUCACACAGAAGAGCUACUAGAGUGGAGGAAGACUGAUAUAUGCAAAAGCUAAAUUGUUAAAGAGUACAGAAAUUUUCAAUAAGAUACUCAUGUAGUUUUAAACUUCUGAAGAAAAUUAAUCUUCUCUUCUACAAAUUCCGAUGGAGUAAGCAAAGGAACACUUUCUUGAAAUGGCAUUAGUUUUAUUGAUAUCUAUAAUGAGUGCAAGCAUGGAGAUUGAUAAAGUGUUUUGUCUGCAAAGAAACAGUACCCAUUUUUUUGUGCCAAAAGGAGAAUCUUUUUGCUAGUGAAAAGAGAGGGUAUUUCAUUGGUAACUCAAGCAAGUUCUUUUGAAAGUAUUACUUCUUCAAUCAACAUAUUGCGAGUUCUGACUCAUUUGCGAGAUCCUAGAAUAUAUAAAUAAAAGACACCAACUUCAUUUAAAGUAUUUGCAUACAUAUGCUCCCAAUCCCCAUUGCCCAUAGAGCAAUGGACCAAUUUAAUACAACAUGAAUUCUUCAGAAGAUAAAAGUGAAAGUCAUGCUUUUGCUCUUAAAUUUAAGGUUGAACGAAAAAUGUGACCCGCAAACAGCCCCAUACCUCCAUUUUACCCAACUUUCCACUUAUUACAUUUUGCUACUAGAUACUUCAGGUAUGUUACCCGCAAUCAGCCCCAAUUCAUAAUAUGGAUAAGUUGGGUGGGCGUUUAGGAGACAAUAGUUUCCUUUCAAAACCCACCAAAUGCAGAAAUGGUACUGCAAAAAUUCCAGAAAGAACGUACCAAAUAACAUGUAUGAGACUUCCACUAGAUGACCCGAGUGUUUUCUUGCAUAGGGUGCCUGAAAGUAACUCCCCUUUUUCUAUCCGUACUUGAGUAUCCCCAGGAGUAAUAAAUCCUUUUUCAGUUUCUUGAUGCCAUGAAGAAUACCUUAAUAGAUUUAUCUGUCUUGGAAUGAUUAAAUUAAAUACUUGUUUCCCAGUCCAAAGAGGCUUAGGUUUCAGAAUUGUUGGAGCAGGUACUUUGCCAUCAAAAUCCUCCCACCACAUAAGGAUGUUCAUAAAAACAUCCUGCGAACAAUACAGACAGCGAUAUCAGAUUGAAUGUGGACACUUACCUAAAAAUUACAUAAUGAUGACAGAAAAUCAAAUGUUACCUUGUCAAUAAAAGUAUCUCUCUUAGUGAUUUUGCGACAUCCUAGUAGUGUAUCCUGCACAAUACCCAUUACAGGUCGAUUUGAUUGAGGUGACACGAUGCAUUUUGGAACCAUCAUUAAUUCCAGAACUUCGGCUCUAGUUUCAAAUGACUGGGGCACGUGCAUAUUCAUUUCAUCUCCAUCAAAAUCAGCAUUGUAGGGUGAGGUAACAGACAGAUUUAAGCGGAAUGUUGAAUAUGGCAUAAUCUUGAUUCUGUGGCCCAUAAUGGACAUCUUAUGGAGACUCGGUUGCCGAUUGAACAGGACAAAGUCUCCAUCAUUUAAAUGUCUCUCAACCUGUACCAUCAAAUAAUAGGAAUCAGGUGUCAAAAGGAAUCCAAUGCUUGAUCAUUCUCAAUUAUAUAGCUGGGAGUCUCACCUUAUAUCCAAGUUCUAGAUGCUGAUCACUACUCUUUUUCAAGUACCGGAGAUCAAGCCUCUGUCCAUCAUCCCUAAUAAUAUAUUUUGCGCCAGUUUUACCAGGAGGGGGAUGAGGUCCAUAUUCCACAAGCUCUUUCAAUCUAUUUUCAAGGUCAAUAUCUGGUUAACAAGAAUAACCAAAAAGUAUAGAGGGAUCACUAUCAAGAAAUAUGGUAAGAGUGCCUAACCUUUCGAUGUUAUAUGGAGUUACAGUUUCAGGAUAUGUAAGAUUUAAGGCAAUACUCCAAGGCACACCCAGCUGGUCGAUGUUGAUUGUUGGGUCAGGUGUAAUCACAGUCCGAGCCGAAAAAUCUACUCGCUUACCCAUCAAGUUACCUCUGAUCCUACCAUCUUUUGCCUUAAGCCUGCUACAUAUUGAUUUAAUGGGUCUGCCAGAUCUUUGGGUAGCCUGAUGUAUACAAGGAUACUUCACUUGUUAGAUAAAUGAUGUUCCAGGAACUGCAUCCACAGUCUCAAUAUACUGAAAUAAUAUAACAUACUCUUGGUUGACCAGGUAAAUCGUUAUCAAAGUAUGUAGCCACAUGGAACUGCAGCAACUGUGCAAACUCAGAGAUGAUGUGUGCAGGAGCCCCAUUCCGCUCCUGCCUCUUUAAGUUCUCAUUAUGCCUAAUGAUCAUGGCCAGUUGAUGAGUUAAAUCAUCCUGCAUAAAUUGAUUCAAUUAUUAGAUUCUCCUGCAACUUAAAAGCAGCAAUCCGAGGAACAUGCAAUUGAUUGACUUGAUCAGUUUGCAGUGAACAGAACCCGAUACACUUAUCUGACCUAAAGGAACAAUUAGGGGUAAUCUAAACACCCAUGACAUUGUAGAGAUCAAAAGGAGAAGUCAUGCCUCACUCCGAGAAGAAGUAUCCAUCAUUACAGAAGGCCUAACUGGAGGAGGAGGGAUUGGAAGAACUUGAAGAAUCAUCCAGUCAGGGCGAGCAUAUUUUGGAUUCAAGCCCAACAACUGACAAUCUUCAUCAGUAAUUCUCUUCAGUAUGCUGAGCACCUGAAACAAAAAGGAAAUAGAGAUUGUUGGGAUUAGCGCAUAAAUCAAUCUAUCACAUUAUCCAGGCUGGAAAAAAAAGUUUGAAUCCCUAUUCUCUGGCAAUUUAUGAUAUAUGAUACCUUCUCUGCAGAGAGAAGUUGUUUUCGUUCAACAGGUUCAGGCAUCUGGUCCUGGUCAUCACUUUUCUUCUUCUGAAUCUUGUAUUCAGCAACCAUUUUCAUCCCAUCUAUAGAAAUCUUUGGCUGCUGAGCACCGCAUCCACCCCUAGACUUCUUCACAGGUUCUUCCGAAUCUUGACCUCGCACAUCGAUCUCAUCACCUCCUUCACAUUUGGAUUUGUUUUUGCAGGCAUCUAAUAUCUUCUUUAAUCUAUUCUUAGGGUUUCUAAUUCUCAUUGCUUGCUUGAACUUGGGAUCGUCCUAGAAAAAUUAACAAGGGAUCAAAAUACAUUGCAAAAGAAAACGAUUGUUCCAACUUCCAAGUAACUUUAUUUCCAUUUGAAGUAUAAUAUUCAGGCAAUAAUGAAAAUAACUAACUUUUACAACAGCAACACUCCUAGGAGAUGCAUCCAGAUGAUGAAAUACCUCAAACUGCUUCUAUCUUACCAAUAUGCAUUUCUAUAAAAGUAACACAAUUAUUGAAGACAUAACAGAACCUAGAAGCCUAAAACUGGAUCGUUGCUAGUCAUAAGUCUUACUAUCCAGUCACUCUUGCAAGUAAUAAGAAUGUUACAAUUAAAUCAGUUGCCCAGUUCAGGAUGGUCAUGAAUAAGACAGAAGUCUGACCCUCCUAGUAUACGAACAUAUACAUGAAAUAAGCAUUUUCCGUGAAUCCAGCAUAUGUUAUACACUUCUGAAAAAUUCAGUCUGCUACUCAGGCCUCACAACAGCGGAAUCAAUAGUCAUACCCAAUAUGAACCAAGUGAGCAUGACUGUACAAAUUCAUACUACUUAAACCGAAAACGUCCAUAACUUCAAUCUAACUACUCGGGAAAUGUACAAUACCUCAUCCGCUAAAAUCUUAGAGCAAUUGAAGCAGACACUGCGGAGAAUACUGAGCACAGUCUUCAUGAAGCCAAUGUGAAACAUAGGUUUGGCGAGCUCAAGGUGACCGAAGUGACCGGGGCAGUCAGCCAUGUUCGCCAUACAAGUCUCGCACUUCAUCUUCCGAUCAAUCGUCCCCAGACGCGGGUCGCUCAAACCACCGAUCUUCGGCUUGCCUCUUUCCGUCGUCUCGCUGUGCUCUAUAUGCACAACAGACAUUUGUCUCUACAAAACACACCAUAAAACAAUAGACCAUCAUUUCCAACUCAAUCACACACUCAAUGCCGAAACUGAAAGUUCAAAACAUUCAAAGAAGUGAGAAUUACGAUCUCAUCGGGGCUGAGAAUGCCGAAUUGGACGACGCGGACUUUCGCGACCUCUGCCGGCGAGAAGGGGAACCGCAGAUCCAUUGCGACACCGGAGAUUCUACCCUAGGGUUUUCGAUUAUGAUUUAUUAUGCUAGCUGAUAUAUAAUAAUUCCAAAAUUAGAAACAAAUAUGGUUUUCAAGUACUUCAAAUUAUUCGCGGUUUCUGUUAAGUAACUGAUUUUUGGGGUUUUUGAAGAAAACUUUUUUCACGCUGCGCUCUUCUCUGAAGGAGGAGAGGCGGCUUUGAGACCAAAGAAGAGAAUGAGGGGUUGAAGGGGUAUUUAAAGAGAUGGAUGGCUUCGAAGUCGGCGCUUAAUGGGGUUGUUUGGCUACACAGUUAUGAGCUGGACAUCUUCCUCUCGUUUGGUCCAUCUAUUAAAAAAUCUUCUUAAUCUAUUUUUAAACAUAAUUUCAUCAACUAUUAUCCUUAUAAUUUUCAUUUUUUGUAAGACUCAUUUUUCACUUAUCAAGUAUACAAUUAAUUUUUAUUAAAAUUCAUGUCACCCUCCUUUAUAAAGAUCUUUGAGAAAUGAAGGGAGUGUUAAUUCCAAAUAUUUGGUAAAAUAAGUACAUAAAUACUCAUUUCGUCCCAACUUUUAGUAUCAAUUUAAGAAUGACACGUGUUUUAAUAAAGUUGUUAAGUGUGUUGUGAGUGGAAUAAGGGUCUCGCAUUUUACGUGAAUGUUAAAAUAAUUAAAGUGGAGUAAGGGUCUCACCUACUUUUACUAAAAAUAAAAAUGAAUAUCAAAAUAUGGAACGGCCAAAAAAGGAAAUAUGAAUACUAAAAGUUGGGACGAAGAUAGUAGUUUACAAGCUCUACAAAUAAGUUUCUACAAUUUAUAAGCUUUUCAAACUACAAACUUUUUACCAUAAAUUACUUUUUCAUAAUUUUAUACUUCCUUCAUCCCAAUUCNCUUAUAAUUUUUCAUUUUUUUGUAAGACUCAUUUUUUCACUUAUCAAGUAUACAAUUAAUUUUUAUUAAAAUUCAUGUCACCCUCCUUUAUAAAGAUCUUUGAGAAAUGAAGGGAGUGUUAAUUCCAAAUAUUUGGUAAAAUAAGUACAUAAAUACUCAUUUCGUCCCAACUUUUAGUAUCAAUUUAAGAAUGACACGUGUUUUAAUAAAGUUGUUAAGUGUGUUGUGAGUGGAAUAAGGGUCUCGCAUUUUACGUGAAUGUUAAAAUAAUUAAAGUGGAGUAAGGGUCUCACCUACUUUUACUAAAAAUAAAAAUGAAUAUCAAAAUAUGGAACGGCCAAAAAAGGAAAUAUGAAUACUAAAAGUUGGGACGAAGAUAGUAGUUUACAAGCUCUACAAAUAAGUUUCUACAAUUUAUAAGCUUUUCAAACUACAAACUUUUUACCAUAAAUUACUUUUUCAUAAUUUUAUACUUCCUUCAUCCCAAUUCAAUAGGCCACAAGACAAGGCUUGGACAUGGAUAUUAAGAAGCGAAUAGUUUAUAAUAAAAUACGAGAGAGAAAGUAGCUUUUUUUAGAGUAAAUUUGUGAAAAAAGUAGGAGAGAGUAGAGAUAAUUUUGUGGGAUCACAAUGAUAUUUGAUGUACAUAAUGAGUUGUGCGAAGGUGUUUGUUAUAUACUAUGAUUUUUUAUUUUAGGAAGUGACCUAUUGAAUUGGAACGUCCAAAUAAGGAUUCAUGACAUAUUUAAAUGGAACUGAGGGAGUAAUAUAUUUUACAAAAAUUAUUCAAUUAUACUUUAUUACUAUUUUCAUCAUAUACACUUUAAACCACUUUGCAAAAAUUAACUCAAUCAUAUAAAUACUUUCACAACUUAUAAGCUCUUACAAAAAUACAUUUUUAAAAUUUUUGAAACAUUUUAUAAAUUGCUACAAUUAUAAAUUUCUUAAAAUAAGCUUAUCCAAACAUCCCCUUAAUUCUACAACAAAAUUUUAACAAAUGGAGUAUAAAUGAGCUAUGAUUGGUAACAUAUUUUUCCUACAAAAAUAAUAAGCGAUAGGUAACAUAACUAGCGUGGGAACUAAGAAUCAAUCUGGUCUAUUAAUUUGAUUAAAUGAUCAUGAUUGAUUUCCAUAUUGAACAAUACAUAUAUAUGAUAAUGCAUCAGUUUAUGCCAGAAAUUAUGCCAUGCUGAUAAAUAAUACUCCAUUCGUCCCAAACGAAAUGUCCUAUUUCUUUUCGGUACGGAAAUUAAGAAAUGUGUAUAAAAUAGAUUAAGUGGGUUGGUGAAAAUUAUUUAAAUAUUAAGUAUAGAGAGAGAGUGUAGUGCCAAAAAAGGAAACAUGACAUUUCGUUUGAGAUAGCCCAAAAAGGAAAACAGUACAUUUCGUUUGGAACGGAGGGAGUAUAGUGCAUACUUAUAAUAAACAACGUAGUUUUAAGUGUGGUGCCCACUUCGGGGGAGCUUGUUGGAUUUAUAAUAAACGACGUAGUUUUCAUAUAUACAAAAAAUCCUCUUCCAUUGAGAUGGUUUCUUACAUUCUUGGCUUCAGCUGCGCAUGGCUUAUCUAUGCAUGCAUUAUUUUAGUUAUAAGCAAUUUAGUAAAUAAAAUAACAAAAUGGAUGGAUUAACAUUGCCACAAAACAUGAUGACACUAUUAGUAUUUUACUUCAAAGGGGAAGAAAAAAAAACUUUAUACGAAUGAAAGAAUGCCAUGUUAAACAAUCUCUCUUAGCCAAAUUGGAAAGCUAUGAGACCAAACAAAUGGACUACAAAUUAAAAAAGAGGUUAUAAAGUGACACGGGACUUAUACGCCACGUGCGGAGUUCAGCUGCCCGACUGCCGGAGUUCAGCUGCCCGACUGCCGGCCUGGUAUGAAAAUGAUUGGGUUAGGGUAGGGUGUCCCAUGCAACAAAUCCUCAUUCCACCUUCCCUUUGUCAGUUUCAUUUACCACACUAAGCCAUGUAAACAAUACCAACACAAUCACAAAAUCAGCAAAUCUAUUCGAACUCGCUUGGCCUAUGGUGAAAGCAGGAUGGAAAAGAAAGCAAAAUAAGCAAAGGUAAAUAUACCUGCUUGGACUGGAAGGAGAAAAAGAUGGUGAUGUUGGGCUGCAAAACCACAGAAAAUAAUAUGUCAAGGUAGCAUUUGAAAGAGAGUUUCACCAGUUCAGAAUAUAUCCUAGUCUUGUCGGGGAAAUAAAACAAAAAGAGUAAUACUCUAGGGAACAAUUUAUCCAGCUUCCUCUGUGGACAAUCAAGUAUAGAAACAGAGUAAUACAUUUAACCAAGGUUAUAUUUGUUAGCAAACUUGAAGAGCAAAAAUUAAAAUAAGGCUUGCCAAAAGUUACCUGAGACUCGGAGAAUAUGGACUGUACGGACUUGAAGGUGUGAUUUUUGGACUUGUAGGUGAAUAUGCUUGUGAAGGGCUAUACCUUGCUGAAGGAUUGUAACUUGGUGAGGUCAGACUGUAAGUCGGUGAGGUGGGACUGUAUCCAGGUGAAGUUGGGCUGUAGGCAGGAGAGGUAGGGCUGUAUGAAGGUGAGGUUGGGCUGUACGAUGGAGAGGUUGGGCUGUAAGAUGGUGAGGUUGGGCUGUAAGAGGGAGACGUGGGGCUGUAAGCCGGAGAAGUUGGGUUAUAAGCAGGUGAGGUUGGGCUGUAAGAGGGAGACGUGGGGCUGUAAGCCGGAGAAGUUGGGCUAUACGCAGGUGAGGUUGGGCUGUAUGCUGGAGAAGUUGGGCUGUAGCUCGGAGAUGUAGGGCUGUAGCUCGGAGAUGUGGGGCUAUAGCUAGGAGAUGUUGGGCUGUAGGAAGGAGACGUUGGUGAAUAAGAUGGGCUUGUGGGAGAAUAGGCAGGGCUUGUAGGACUAUAUCCAGGAGAACUAGGACUAUAUGUUGGGGACGUAGGGCUGUAACCAGGGGAAGUAGGACUGUACCCAGGUGAGGUGGGGCUGUAUCCAGGAGAUGACGGGCUGUACCCUGGAGACGAUGUAGGAGAAAACGCCAUCCCGCCCACAUACGGAGAAAACUGAGCAUCUGAAACAGGAGAUAACCGAAGAUUUGGGCUCAGCAUAUAAUUUGGUGACAUCAUGCCAUCAUGAUAUGGGGUCCCUGAGAUGGGUGAACGGCCAGGAGUCAUGCCAAACUCCAGUCCACCUUCCAUAUAACUGGGCAGAGGGAUCUCCAUAGCUUGUUUUAGCAUCUCUUCAUUCAUAUACAAAGCACAAUCACCUGUGCCAAUAGGUGCAAGCUGUCCUAACAUGAUAUUCUCAGUGACACCCCUGAGGUAAUCUGUUUCUGCAUACACAGCAGCAUCAAGAAGAAUGUCCACUGUUUCUUCAAAGGAGCAUCUCAUCAUGGGGCCAGUAUCAUUGCGAUUGAUACCAUGACGGGUGAUGGCCAUCAAGUGACCACGAUAUGUCAUGGUAUCACACAAUAUAGCCAAAUGUCUAUAGUUCACGUAAGACCCAUCAAAGAUAUACAACACGCAACUCAUCAGCAAGGCUUUGCGAACUGCCUCAAUGCCAAGAACUUCAAUAACUUCAAUCAAUGAUUGCUUGUUGUCCUACUUGCAUCUACAUCUUCAUGGCAAAUUACAGCUAAAAGAUUAACACCUUCUGUGUCAGCAUCCACUCAUUCUCAGCCUUGAAGCCUUCAUUUUCAUCAAACUUAUUUACCUUGCCAUUCUUUAUGAACACCUUAUUGAUAUCUGGUAUGCCUCGAAGAGCCAUUUCUGUAAGCAUGUUACCCUCAAUCUUUUUGAGGAAGACAUCAUCCUCAGCGAUUCAUCAUCACUCCUUAGGGUCUUCUCAUUCUAAUACGAAUACGAAGGAUAAGCUUUUCAGCAUUAUCAUCAUUAAAUGCAAGAUACAUCAAAUCAAUUAAUCUUAUGGAAAAUAUCAGCCAUGUUGAGUUUCUUAUCCACCAUCAUUUCUCUGUUUAACUCUAUGCGAAGCAACCACGGAGAGAUCUGUCGGGGUCAACAUCUCAUCUGGCAUCUCAAAGUAGGACGUCACAAUUCAAUAUCUUCCUCAAUAAUAGUGCUCUUAAGAUCUGGAUCGUACCAUACCUCUGUUGCUUGUGUUACACUCCGCAAGGUUGUAUACUCCAGAGCGCACUGGACAUUUUUGGCAUUCUCCUUAGUUUUUCUUACACCAGGCUUCAAGUAUACCGAGAGAGAGGGUGUUUUAAUAUUCUUAGCAACAUUAAUAAUCUCCCUCAACCUUGGAACACCUAAAGUAACAUUCUUGGCACUCACACCAGCAUAGUGAAAUGUAUUGAGGGUCAUCUGUGUAGCAGGUUCACCAAUGGAUUGUGCAGCAACACAUCCUAUCAUUUCUCCAGCAGCAACAAGUGACUGAAGAAAACGGGAUUCUAUCUCGCCAACUACCCAGUCAAAAGCCUCACGGGUAAGUCUGUACUCCUUCAGGACCCUUUUACUUGCUAAAGCACUACGAAGCAAUAUAUUGAAGAAAAGAGUAGCAUUCUUCUGUGCUUCCAAACUCAGAUAAUCAUCACCAACAACCACCUUAAGCCUUUCUUGUAACUUAUCAACAGCUUCUACAAUCUCCAUUGGAUGCAUAUCAGACGGUCUCCGAAAAUCAACUCUAAAGGUCUUUUGUGCAUUCAAAACAAGCCUCUUGAUGUUGACAGGGAGGGGCCAAGAAUUGUCACCCGUGGUGGCAAUCUCUGUUCCAAGUUGAUACCUAUCGGCUUCAAGUUUCUGAACCUCUGCAUCAAACACACUGCGAAUUUCACGAAUCGUUUUCAGAUCUUCCACAACUUCAGGUAACAUAUAAUUAGGAUUCCAGUUUGGGUGAUCAAUCUCAUAUUUGUACAUGUCAUUGAAAUCCAAUCUCUUCAACUUCAGUGAUUCCAAAUGCUGUGAUUCAAUCCAAACUGCAUCCAUACCAUCUUCCCCGUACAGAAACU
RNAcentral lists this long non-coding RNA (11046 nucleotides) under Salvia miltiorrhiza (redroot sage). RNAcentral's name for it is "long non-coding RNA (SMIL_LNC006845)". Lineage: Eukaryota; Viridiplantae; Streptophyta; Magnoliopsida; Lamiales; Lamiaceae. The record is from RNAcentral.